GAAAGGAGUGAGUUUGAAUAAACACUUUACUUACACUAAAAAAAUACCCAGCGGGUAC
RNAcentral lists this transfer RNA (58 nucleotides) under Artemia persimilis. RNAcentral's name for it is "tRNA-Val". The record is from RNAcentral. Lineage: Eukaryota; Metazoa; Arthropoda; Branchiopoda; Anostraca; Artemiidae.